This 464-nucleotide ribosomal RNA is filed under the name uncultured bacterium. RNAcentral describes it as "partial 16S ribosomal RNA". It matches the Rfam family "Bacterial small subunit ribosomal RNA", at positions 28 to 507 of the family's 1533-position model. The record is from RNAcentral.
GACGAACGCUGGCGGCGUGCUUAACACAUGCAAGUCGAACGGAAAGGCCCUGCUUGCAGGGUACUCGAGUGGCGAACGGGUGAGUAACACGUGGGUGAUCUGCCCUGCACUUCGGGAUAAGCCUGGGAAACUGGGUCUAAUACCGGAUAGGAGCCAUUUUUAGUGUGAUGGUUGGAAAGUUUUUUCGGUGUAGGAUGAGCUCGCGGCCUAUCAGCUUGUUGGUGGGGUAAUGGCCUACCAAGGCGGCGACGGGUAGCCGGCCUGAGAGGGUGGACGGCCACAUUGGGACUGAGAUACGGCCCAGACUCCUACGGGAGGCAGCAGUGGGGAAUAUUGCACAAUGGGCGCAAGCCUGAUGCAGCGACGCCGCGUGGGGGAUGACGGCCUUCGGGUUGUAAACUCCUUUCGCUAGGGACGAAGCUUUUGCGACGGUACCUAGAUAAGAAGCACCGGCUAACUACGUG